RNAcentral lists this ribosomal RNA (523 nucleotides) under Metarhizium anisopliae. RNAcentral describes it as "eukaryotic LSU rRNA". The stretch from base 141 to 294 matches the Rfam family "5.8S ribosomal RNA". Lineage: Eukaryota; Fungi; Ascomycota; Sordariomycetes; Hypocreales; Clavicipitaceae. The record is from RNAcentral.
AUUACCGAGUUAUCCAACUCCCAACCCCUGUGAAUUAUACCUUUAAUUGUUGCUUCGGCGGGACUUCGCGCCCGCCGGGGACCCAAACCUUCUGAAUUUUUUAAUAAGUAUCUUCUGAGUGGUUAAAAAAAAUGAAUCAAAACUUUCAACAACGGAUCUCUUGGUUCUGGCAUCGAUGAAGAACGCAGCGAAAUGCGAUAAGUAAUGUGAAUUGCAGAAUUCAGUGAAUCAUCGAAUCUUUGAACGCACAUUGCGCCCGUCAGUAUUCUGGCGGGCAUGCCUGUUCGAGCGUCAUUACGCCCCUCAAGUCCCCUGUGGACUUGGUGUUGGGGAUCGGCGAGGCUGGUUUUCCAGCACAGCCGUCCCUUAAAUUGAUUGGCGGUCUCGCCGUGGCCCUCCUCUGCGCAGUAGUAAAACACUCGCAACAGGAGCCCGGCGCGGUCCACUGCCGUAAAACCCCCCAACUUUUUAUAGUUGACCUCGAAUCAGGUAGGACUACCCGCUGAACUUAAGCAUAUCAAUA